This 253-nucleotide ribosomal RNA is filed under the name uncultured bacterium. Its description in RNAcentral is "partial 16S ribosomal RNA". It matches the Rfam family "Bacterial small subunit ribosomal RNA", at positions 524 to 776 of the family's 1533-position model. The record is from RNAcentral.
UACGUAGGUGGCAAGCGUUGUCCGGAAUUAUUGGGCGUAAAGCGCGCGCAGGCGGUUCUUUAAGUCUGAUGUGAAAGCCCACGGCUCAACCGUGGAGGGUCAUUGGAAACUGGGGAACUUGAGUACAGAAGAGGAAAGCGGAAUUCCACGUGUAGCGGUGAAAUGCGUAGAGAUGUGGAGGAACACCAGUGGCGAAGGCGGCACUCUGGGACGGUACUGACGCUGAGACGCGAAAGCGUGGGGAGCGAACAGG